UACGUAGGGUGCAAGCGUUGUCCGGAAUUAUUGGGCGUAAAGAGCUCGUAGGUGGUUCGGUAAGUCGGAUGUGAAAUCUCCAGGCUCAACCUGGAGGGGUCAUUCGAUACUGCCGUGACUAGAGUUCGGUAGAGGAGUGUGGAAUUCCUGGUGGAGCGGUGAAAUGCGCAGAGAUCAGGAGGAACACCCGUAGCGAAGGCGGCACUCUGGGCCGAUACUGACACUGAGGAGCGAAAGCGUGGGGAGCGAACAGG
Molecule: ribosomal RNA, 254 nt
Filed under: uncultured bacterium
Lineage: Bacteria
Description: partial 16S ribosomal RNA
Rfam family: Bacterial small subunit ribosomal RNA
Source: RNAcentral